RNAcentral lists this long non-coding RNA (638 nucleotides) under Homo sapiens (human). RNAcentral describes it as "HSALNT0374333". Lineage: Eukaryota; Metazoa; Chordata; Mammalia; Primates; Hominidae. The record is from RNAcentral.
GCCAGCAGUUGCAACCUGCUCAGGUCCCCUUCUACACUGUGGAAGCUUUGUUCUUUCGCUCUUUGCAAUAAAUCUUGCUACUGCUCACUCUUUGGGUCCACUCUGCUUUUAUGAGCUGUAACACUCACCGCGAAGGUCUGCAGCUUCACUCCUGAAGCCAGUGAGACCACGAGCCCACCUGGAGGAAGGAACAACUCCAGAGGCCCUGCCUUAAGAGCUGUAACACUCACCGCGAAGGUCUGCAGCUUCACUCCUGAAGCCAGCGAGACCACGAGCCCACCUGGAGGAACAAACAACUCCAGAGGCGCCGCCUUAAGAGCUGUAACACUCACCGCGAAGGUCUGCAGCUUCACUCCUGAGCCAGCGAGACCACGAACCCACCAGAAGGAAGAAACUCCGAAAACAUCUUAACAUCAGAAGGAACAAAUUCCAGACGCGCCAUCUUAAGAGCUGUAACACUCACCGCGAGGGGCGUGGCUUCAUGCUUGAAGUCAGUGAGACCAAGAACCCACCAAUUCUGGACACAUUAUGACCUUUGUUUCCUGCCAUGGAAGAAAAUUUAAAUUCCCAGGCUGAAGAAGCAAAUUAGGCCUCUCAAGCAGAAACCAACAGCACUGUGAAAACAGACUAAUACAUAC